UGGGGGAUAGUUUAGUGGCAGAACAGCGGAUUCUGGAUCCGUGAGCCGUGGUUCGACUCCACGUCCCCCAG
This 71-nucleotide transfer RNA is filed under the name Chloroflexota bacterium. Its description in RNAcentral is "Chloroflexi bacterium (groundwater metagenome) tRNA-Gln". It matches the Rfam family "tRNA". From Rfam's summary of the family: Transfer RNA (tRNA) molecules are approximately 80 nucleotides in length. Their secondary structure includes four short double-helical elements and three loops (D, anti-codon, and T loops). Further hydrogen bonds mediate the characteristic L-shaped molecular structure. tRNAs have two regions of fundamental functional importance: the anti-codon, which is responsible for specific mRNA codon recognition, and the 3' end, to which the tRNAs corresponding amino acid is attached (by aminoacyl-tRNA synthetases). tRNAs cope with the degeneracy of the genetic code in two manners: having more than one tRNA (with a specific anti-codon) for a particular amino acid; and 'wobble' base-pairing, i.e. permitting non-standard base-pairing at the 3rd anti-codon position. Lineage: Bacteria; Bacillati; Chloroflexota. The record is from RNAcentral.